This 387-nucleotide ribosomal RNA is filed under the name Chlamydomyzium sp. RNAcentral describes it as "partial small subunit ribosomal RNA". It matches the Rfam family "Eukaryotic small subunit ribosomal RNA", at positions 587 to 975 of the family's 1831-position model. Lineage: Eukaryota; Oomycota; Myzocytiopsidales; Myzocytiopsidaceae. The record is from RNAcentral.
AGCUCCAAUAGCGUAUAUUUACAUUGUUGCAGUUAAAAAGCUCGUAGUUGGAUUUCUGUUGUUUAUGUUGGCGGUCUUGGAAUCCCAAGUACUGCUGUGUAAGCAUCAUAAUUUGUGAGAAGUCGUACUGGCAUUAAGUUGUUGGUGUGAUGUAUUCUUGCAUCGUUUACUGUGAAAAAAUUAGAGUGUUUCAAGCAGGUUUCUCCUGAAUACAUUAGCAUGGAAUAAUAAGAUAUGACUCGAGUGGUCUAUUUUGUUGGUUUGCACAUUUGAGUAAUGAUUAAUAGGGACAGUAGGGGGUAUUCAUAUUUCAGCGUCAGAGGUGAAAUUCUUGGAUCGCUGAAAGAUGAGCUAAGGCGAAAGCAUUUACCAAGGAUGUUUUCAUUA